This 2153-nucleotide long non-coding RNA is filed under the name Cricetulus griseus (Chinese hamster). RNAcentral's name for it is "lncRNA (ENSCGRG00015033964.1)". The record is from RNAcentral. Lineage: Eukaryota; Metazoa; Chordata; Mammalia; Rodentia; Cricetidae.
GUCUCCCCUGGGGCCUGCGCAGCAACCGUCCUCCCCAUCCGCCGGGGCCUCUCGAUCCCGCCAACUAGUCCCUGCGCCAAGGCCAAGUCUGCUUUUCUCCUGAACUUUCCCAGGAUUCUAACCUAGGGUGGGAUUCCUCGGCCGGGCUCCCGGACACCCGCUGCGGAAGAUGGGUGGGGGAGAGGGCGUGACCACUAGAGCCAGGGGCCGGGAGCCAGCGGCUCUGGACCCCAGCUGGACCGAGAGAGCCUGCGAGCACGAGUGCUGUCAGCCGUAACUCCUAUGGCGGUGAGCCCUGGUUUAGCUGCCCACAGCCAAGGCACAUCCAGGAACCCCAGAAGUCCAGGCAUGACAGAGAUGAAAGAUUUGCAGGCUAUGUACAUCAUCUGACACCUGUCCCCCACCCCCACCCCGUAUCGCAACGCCUAAAAUAAAAAUGUCACAACGCAUUUACAAGAAAUAAUACAAAACAAAACAAAAAAUGGAAAUGCUCGGAUACAGAGUUUUACAAAACCCAGAAUAUAUCUCCACUGUCUGAGAGGGGAAUCACGGUAUAAAUGAACCAAGGAACCCAAAAGAGCGGUAACAACUACAAAAAAAAAACCCAAAAAACAAAACAAAACAAAACAAAAACAAAAAACAAACUUGUAAAUGUUUGGAUCUGCCUUACUACAUUUAUAACAAGUGAGAACAGCUCGAGGUCCGUCACUCGGCCUCAGGCAGAAGAGCCAGCGGCGGGAAGCAAACCCCGGAGAAAGUUACAGUGCCGGCAGUCAUACAAAAGUUGGCAUCGCUUCCCUGGGUUUUGUCUUUUGUCCUUCCGAGCCGAGAAAACGUUGUGUGCCUCCUCUGCGGAUGAUAAAUACUGUACAAAAGGUUUCGUGAAAACACCAAAGUUCAGUCUAAGAUGCCAGUCUGGUGUCAGCGCCUCGGAGUCCCGGGAAAGGUGAGAGAGGGCAGACGUCACCUGGUGCUCGGUUCUCCAGAGCGGUCUUUUUACAAGAACGUGGAGACGUUUGUACAAAGUCGAGCCCUGAAGGCUCCCGCGCCAGGUCUCGCGCUCUUCGUCGCCGGGUCGGCGGCCUCGAGCCACAGAGUCCCCGGCGUCCCCGCGGCGCUAGAUAUGCGUCAGGGGCACCGUACCGUUGACGCCCGCGCCCGCUCCCUGGUAGUGCUGUGGCAGAGAGUGCAGCCGGCUUUGGGCCGCGGCAGCCGCUGCCGCCGCCGGGUCGCCACCCUCGCCGGCGGGCAGAUACAUGCUUAUCAUCUCACGGAGGUCCCCGGGACACGGCGCCCGCGAGUGCGCGGGGGCCGGCGGACUGCCGCUGGGCUCAGACUUGACCAGCGAGCCGAGGGCGCCUAGAGCACCCGAGGAUGCUGCCGCCGCAGCUGCCGCGGCCGCCACAGCCGAGUUCUGGUGCGCGCCGCCAGCAGCGGCGGCGGCGGCUGCUGCGGCGCCAUAGGGGAUGCCGCCGUAGCCCGAAGGCGACGCGCUCAUGUAGCCCUGAGAGUUGGAGAUGGGGCUGUACUGCAGUGCGCCCAUGUCGUAGCGGUGCAUGGGCUGCGGGUUGUGAGGAUGCGCGUGCGGAUGGUGCGGGUGCGGAUGCGCCGGGUGCGCGUGCGGGUGCGCGCCGCCCGCGCCUGGGUGCUGCCCGUAGGCUAGCUGUGCCUCCUGCAUCAUGGCUGCGGCAGCAGCCGCUGCGGCUACCGAGCCGGGGUAGGCGCCGUUUGCCCAGCCGUUGACGUGCGCGUAGCCACCUCCCGCCGCGCCGCCCGGGCUCUCCAGGCGCUGGCCCACCGCCGCCGCCCCGACGCCCACGCCCACGCCCAUGGCCACGGCCGCACCACCGCCACCUGCGCCGGCCGCCAGCAGCCCACCGGCCAGCGAAUACUUGUCCUUCUUGAGCAACGUCUUGGUCUUACGGCGCGGCCGGUACUUGUAAUCCGGGUGCUCCUUCAUGUGCAACGCUCGCAGUCGCUUGGCCUCGUCGAUGAACGGCCGCUUCUCGGCCUCGGACAUGACCUUCCACUCGGCCCCCAGGCGCUUGCUGAUUUCCGAGUUGUGCAUCUUGGGGUUCUCCUGGGCCAUCUUGCGUCUCUGUCCGCGGGACCACACCAUGAAGGCAUUCAUGGGCCGCUUGACCCGAUCCUGG